Molecule: ribosomal RNA, 259 nt
Filed under: uncultured bacterium
Lineage: Bacteria
Description: partial 16S ribosomal RNA
Rfam family: Bacterial small subunit ribosomal RNA
Source: RNAcentral
GUCCACGCCCUAAACGAUGAUAACUCGAUGUUGGCGAUACACAGUCAGCGUCUAAGCGAAAGCAUUAAGUUAUCCACCUGGGAAGUACGACCGCAAGGUUGAAACUCAAAGGAAUUGACGGGGGCCCCGCACAAGCGGAGGAGCAUGUGGUUUAAUUCGAUGAUACGCGAGGAACCUUACCUGGGCUUGAAAGUUAGUGACAGUCCCUGAAAGGGGAUCUUCCGCAAGGACACGAAACUAGGUGCUGCAUGGCUGUCGU